UUUAAUGGAGAGUUUGAUCCUGGCUCAGGACGAACGCUGGCGGCGUGCCUAAUACAUGCAAGUCGAGCGAGGGUUUUCGGACCCUAGCGGCGGACGGGUGAGUAACACGUAGGCAACCUGCCUGCAAGACUGGGAUAACAUAGGGAAACUUAUGCUAAUACCGGAUAGGGGUUUGCUUCGCAUGAAGCGAACCGGUAAGAUGGCGCAAGC
Molecule: ribosomal RNA, 210 nt
Filed under: Brevibacillus sp. SKDU10
Lineage: Bacteria; Bacillati; Bacillota; Bacilli; Caryophanales; Paenibacillaceae
Description: partial 16S ribosomal RNA
Rfam family: Bacterial small subunit ribosomal RNA
Source: RNAcentral